Molecule: unclassified non-coding RNA, 405 nt
Filed under: soil metagenome
Description: partial contains 5.8S ribosomal RNA, internal transcribed spacer 2, and large subunit ribosomal RNA
Rfam family: 5.8S ribosomal RNA (bases 1-121)
Source: RNAcentral
GAUGAAGAACGCAGCGAAAUGCGAUAAGUAAUGUGAAUUGCAGAAUUCAGUGAAUCAUCGAAUCUUUGAACGCACCUUGCGCCCUUUGGCCAUUCCGAAGGGCAUGCCUGUUUGAGUAUCAUGAACACCUCAACUCUUUAUGGUUUUCCAUGAUGAGCUUGGACUUUGGGGGUUUUGCUGGCCUAUGGUCGGCUCCUCUAAAAUAAAUCAGCUUACCGGUGUUUGGUGGGUAUCAUGGGUGUGAUAACUAUCUACGCUUGUGGUUUUUCCCCCAGGUAACCUUCGACAGCGGAGGUUCACUGGAGCUCAUAGAUGUCUCUCCUCAGCGAGGACAGCCCUUUGAAUGUUUGAUCUCAAAUCAGGUAGGACUACCCGCUGAACUUAAGCAUAUCAAUAAGCGGAGGA